GCGGGUAUCGUUCAAUGGUAGGACAUUGGGUUGUGGUCCCAAGAACCUGGGUUCGAUUCCCAGUACUCGCCCA
RNAcentral lists this transfer RNA (73 nucleotides) under Candidatus Moranbacteria bacterium RIFOXYA1_FULL_44_7. RNAcentral's name for it is "tRNA-His". It matches the Rfam family "tRNA". From Rfam's summary of the family: Transfer RNA (tRNA) molecules are approximately 80 nucleotides in length. Their secondary structure includes four short double-helical elements and three loops (D, anti-codon, and T loops). The record is from RNAcentral. RNAcentral also lists the same sequence under 3 other names. Lineage: Bacteria; Candidatus Moraniibacteriota.